UGGGGAAUCUUGCACAAUGGGGGCAACCCUGAUGCAGCGACGCCGCGUGAGCGAUGAAGCCCUUCGGGGCGUAAAGCUCUUUCGACCGGAACGAUAAUGACGGUACCGGGAGAAGAAGCUGCGGCUAACUACGUGCCAGCAGCCGCGGUAAUACGUAGGCAGCAAGCGUUGUUCGGAGUUACUGGGCGUAAAGAGUGCGUAGGCGGUUUUCUAAGUUCGGUGUGGAAUCUCCCGGCUUAACUGGGAGGGUGCGCCGAAGACUGGGAAGCUGGAGUGUGGGAAAGGCAGGCGGAAUUCCUGGUGUAGCGGUGAAAUGCGUAGAUAUCAGGAGGAACACCUGAGGCGAAGGCGGGUUGCUGGGCCGACACUGACGCUGAUGCGCGAAAGCCAGGGGAGCAAACG
This 402-nucleotide ribosomal RNA is filed under the name uncultured bacterium. Its description in RNAcentral is "bacterial SSU rRNA". It matches the Rfam family "Bacterial small subunit ribosomal RNA", at positions 355 to 774 of the family's 1533-position model. The record is from RNAcentral.